Molecule: long non-coding RNA, 132 nt
Organism: Myripristis murdjan (pinecone soldierfish)
Lineage: Eukaryota; Metazoa; Chordata; Actinopteri; Holocentriformes; Holocentridae
Exons: 3
Source: RefSeq, a predicted model, not a curated record
CAAAUGACAGAACAGCUUUAAUAAGUUCAGAAAAUUGCAUUCCGUUACUGUAAUGCAGCCUUUAAAACCAGGAAGACAACACUUAUGCCAUAUCAAGAUAUUACAAUAUCCCAAAUCCCAGCCAACAGCUAG